CAAACAACCAAAUAGCCACAACUAUCACAACAGAAAUCAACCUUGGUGUCUGCAUGGAGAGAGUCUCCCUGUUGACUGUGGAAGAGGUCUAUUUACCCGGGCCCAGGUGUUUCCCAAGUAGCUGACGACCCUCCCAACUCCGCCCACCGGCAUCCUAAUAAGGAAACAAGAACAAAGAGAGAAUAUGGCAGACAGAGUGGGAGGCUCGUCACAGAGAGAACGAGCUAAAGUGGGAUAGAAACAGAUACAGAACCAGCGACAGUUGGAAAUAGACGGACAGAUAGAACCAGUGGCAGUAGGAUAGAGACGGACAGACAGAACCAGGGACAGUGGGAAAUAAACAGACAGAUAGAACCUGCGACAGUGGGAUAGAGACAGACAGAUAGAACCAGCGACAGUGGGAUAGAAACAGACAGGUAGAACCAGCGACUGUGGGGUAGAGACAGACAGAUAGAUCUAGCGACAGUGGUAUAGAGACAGACGGAUAGAACCAGUGACAGUCGGAUAGAGACAGACAGAUAGAACCAGCGACAGUGGGAUAGAGACAGACGGAUAGAACCAGCGACAGUGGGAUAGGGACAGACAGGUAAUACCAGCGACAGUGGGAUAGAGACAGACAGACAUAUAGAACCAGCGACAGUGGGAUAGAGACAGACAGAAAGAGUGAGAGAAGGAUAGAGAAAGAGCUAUAGAAAACGAGGGAUAGCAAGUGUGAGAUAUAGAGAGAGGGAUAGUGAGUAACAGAGAGAAAAGAGAGGAAAAUCAAUGUUCUAACAUAAAUGAAUGAAAUCCAAAUGGAUGUGUCAUGGUAGCACAUUAUUUGCCACUGCAGCCCAGCAGAGAGUAGAGACAAACAAUAGGUCACACUGCACAACCAUCUUUACAUUUGUCUAAUACUGUCAUGCAUCACCCCCUCCUGCAACAAGACUACGCAGGCUUCACACACAGCUUGUGUGAGAGAGUCGGCAAUAGACACGCCAUUUGACAAUGCAUCGCACGCCUCUGCUGACGUUGCACCAGAGGGUUUUUUUCUGCUACCACGCUCUCCGUACCUCAUCCCUCAGCGAGCCACCCUGGAAAGAACACUCCACGGGUGUGAGCGGUGUGAGCGAGAGGCAGGGGGAGGCUAAUCUGUUCCUUUCCCUUCUGAGUCUUGGCUUUGUGUUCAGGGAAAAGAGGAGGGAGCGAGGGAUUGGAGGGAGAGGGGGUGUGGGGAAUCUGAAGAGGGCUACAGUAGUACAUGAAUGCUGCACAACAGAUGAAAUGGAUUGCUAGAGCUUUGGACAUGGUUGUGGUUUCCGCUAUCUUGUUUUGUUUUUUUUGCAUUAUGUCAACAUGGUGGAGAUAUGCGUUUGCUGUUAUACUGUGG
This 1369-nucleotide long non-coding RNA is filed under the name Salmo salar (Atlantic salmon). Its description in RNAcentral is "lncRNA (ENSSSAG00000093912.1)". Lineage: Eukaryota; Metazoa; Chordata; Actinopteri; Salmoniformes; Salmonidae. The record is from RNAcentral.